Molecule: ribosomal RNA, 1415 nt
Filed under: Lactobacillus sp.
Lineage: Bacteria; Bacillati; Bacillota; Bacilli; Lactobacillales; Lactobacillaceae
Description: bacterial SSU rRNA
Rfam family: Bacterial small subunit ribosomal RNA
Source: RNAcentral
GCAGUCGAACGAACUCUGGUAUUGAUUGGUGCUUGCAUCAUGAUUUACAUUUGAGUGAGUGGCGAACUGGUGAGUAACACGUGGGAAACCUGCCCAGAAGCGGGGGAUAACACCUGGAAACAGAUGCUAAUACCGCAUAACAACUUGGACCGCAUGGUCCGAGUUUGAAAGAUGGCUUCGGCUAUCACUUUUGGAUGGUCCCGCGGCGUAUUAGCUAGAUGGUGAGGUAACGGCUCACCAUGGCAAUGAUACGUAGCCGACCUGAGAGGGUAAUCGGCCACAUUGGGACUGAGACACGGCCCAAACUCCUACGGGAGGCAGCAGUAGGGAAUCUUCCACAAUGGACGAAAGUCUGAUGGAGCAACGCCGCGUGAGUGAAGAAGGGUUUCGGCUCGUAAAACUCUGUUGUUAAAGAAGAACAUAUCUGAGAGUAACUGUUCAGGUAUUGACGGUAUUUAACCAGAAAGCCACGGCUAACUACGUGCCAGCAGCCGCGGUAAUACGUAGGUGGCAAGCGUUGUCCGGAUUUAUUGGGCGUAAAGCGAGCGCAGGCGGUUUUUUAAGUCUGAUGUGAAAGCCUUCGGCUCAACCGAAGAAGUGCAUCGGAAACUGGGAAACUUGAGUGCAGAAGAGGACAGUGGAACUCCAUGUGUAGCGGUGAAAUGCGUAGAUAUAUGGAAGAACACCAGUGGCGAAGGCGGCUGUCUGGUCUGUAACUGACGCUGAGGCUCGAAAGUAUGGGUAGCAAACAGGAUUAGAUACCCUGGUAGUCCAUACCGUAAACGAUGAAUGCUAAGUGUUGGAGGGUUUCCGCCCUUCAGUGCUGCAGCUAACGCAUUAAGCAUUCCGCCUGGGGAGUACGGCCGCAAGGCUGAAACUCAAAGGAAUUGACGGGGGCCCGCACAAGCGGUGGAGCAUGUGGUUUAAUUCGAAGCUACGCGAAGAACCUUACCAGGUCUUGACAUACUAUGCAAAUCUAAGAGAUUAGACGUUCCCUUCGGGGACAUGGAUACAGGUGGUGCAUGGUUGUCGUCAGCUCGUGUCGUGAGAUGUUGGGUUAAGUCCCGCAACGAGCGCAACCCUUAUUAUCAGUUGCCAGCAUUAAGUUGGGCACUCUGGUGAGACUGCCGGUGACAAACCGGAGGAAGGUGGGGAUGACGUCAAAUCAUCAUGCCCCUUAUGACCUGGGCUACACACGUGCUACAAUGGAUGGUACAACGAGUUGCGAACUCGCGAGAGUAAGCUAAUCUCUUAAAGCCAUUCUCAGUUCGGAUUGUAGGCUGCAACUCGCCUACAUGAAGUCGGAAUCGCUAGUAAUCGCGGAUCAGCAUGCCGCGGUGAAUACGUUCCCGGGCCUUGUACACACCGCCCGUCACACCAUGAGAGUUUGUAACACCCAAAGUCGGGGGGUAACC